GAUGAAGAACGUAGCGAAAUGCGAUAAGUAAUGUGAAUUGCAGAAUUCAGUGAAUCAUCGAAUCUUUGAACGCACCUUGCACCCUUUGGCAUUCCGAAGGGUAUGCUCGUUUGAGUGUCAUUGUACUCUCACACUUCUAAUUCCUUUCGGGAUUGGGAGCGGUGGACUUGGGUGUUGCUGCUUUAGUUGUGGCUCACCUCAAAUAAGUUAGUGCAACUCUUGGUUGGACAUAGUACGGCGUGAUAAGUGUCUUCGCCGGCGCCUCUGUAAGGAGGGUGGCCGAUCGGGAGCUCUGUGCUUCAAACCGUCUUCGGACAAUCUUUGACAACUUGACCUCAAAUCGAGUAGGACUACCCGCUGAACUUAAGCAUAUCAAUAAGCGGAGGA
RNAcentral lists this unclassified non-coding RNA (387 nucleotides) under soil metagenome. RNAcentral's name for it is "partial contains 5.8S ribosomal RNA, internal transcribed spacer 2, and large subunit ribosomal RNA". The stretch from base 1 to 120 matches the Rfam family "5.8S ribosomal RNA", at positions 35 to 154 of the family's 154-position model. The record is from RNAcentral.